This 253-nucleotide ribosomal RNA is filed under the name uncultured bacterium. RNAcentral describes it as "partial 16S ribosomal RNA". It matches the Rfam family "Bacterial small subunit ribosomal RNA", at positions 524 to 776 of the family's 1533-position model. The record is from RNAcentral.
CACGUAGGGCGCGAGCGUUGUCCGGAAUUAUUGGGCGUAAAGAGCUCGUAGGCGGCCUGUUGCGUCCGCUGUGAAAGCCCGGGGCUUAACCCCGGGUCUGCAGUGGAUACGGGCAGGCUAGAGGUAGGUAGGGGAGAAUGGAAUUCCCGGUGUAGCGGUGAAAUGCGCAGAUAUCGGGAGGAACACCGAUGGCGAAGGCAGAUCUCUGGGCCGUAACUGACGCUGAGGAGCGAAAGCGUGGGGAGCGAACAGG